UCAAGAAUCUUCCACAAUGGCCGAAAGGCUGAUGGAGCGACGCCGCGUGUAUGAAGACGCCCCUCGGGGUGUAAAGUACUUUUUUUAGGGAAGAAACAAUGACGGUACCUAAAGAAUAAGGGGCUGCUAACCUCGUGCCAGCAGCAGCGGUAAUACGAGGGCCCCAAGCGUUAUCCGGAUUUAUUGGGCGUAAAGGGUGUGUAGGCGGUUUGUCACAUCUUCUGUUAAAUCUGCGGGCCCAACCCGUAGGCUGCGGGAGAGAUGGACAGACUGGAGUUCGGGAGAGGCACAUGGAAUUGCUGGUGUAGGGGUUAAAUCCGUUAAUAUCAGCAGGAACACCAAAUGCGUAGGCAGUGUGCUGGAACGAUACUGACGCUGAAACACGAAAGCGUGGGGAGCG
Molecule: ribosomal RNA, 400 nt
Filed under: uncultured bacterium
Lineage: Bacteria
Description: bacterial SSU rRNA
Rfam family: Bacterial small subunit ribosomal RNA
Source: RNAcentral